UGGAGAUUGUUGAAUUGUGGCCAAGUGGACAACAAAACAAAACAACUUUCGGCUAAUAAACAAACCAAAAUAAAAAAAAAGGUGAAAGACAUCAUGAUGAGGAGGCAUCAUGAUUAUGUUUGUUGAAAAGAAAAGUUGAUGGUCAUGAUGAUGUUUUUGAAUUUUUUAUUGGGUGAUAAUGAUGUCUCUUUGGCUUUUUCUUAAAGAAAAGAAUAAGGGUUCGGUUGGUGCAAUAAGAGAAAAAAAAAAGGCUCAUUUUGUUUUAGAGAAGAGUGAGUAGAGAGCUGCAGAGAAAAGGAGUGCAUCAGAAAAAUAGAAAGGGUGCAGCAACCCUUCGUUGAAGAGAAGAAGAAAGUGCUCUUCUUUUUGUUAGCAAUCAUCCAUCAUAAUUGUUGUUGUAAUAGCUUUGAGCUAUAUGUAUAGAGAAGAAAUUAUACAUUAUAUUUCUUUCUCUAUUUGUUUCUGUGGUGUGUGAGAGCUAUUGGGUGUAUUGGGUUAUUUGGGUUGUGAGAUUGCCAACACUUUGUAA
RNAcentral lists this long non-coding RNA (529 nucleotides) under Malus domestica (apple). Its description in RNAcentral is "long non-coding RNA (MDOM_LNC014876)". The record is from RNAcentral. Lineage: Eukaryota; Viridiplantae; Streptophyta; Magnoliopsida; Rosales; Rosaceae.